GACGAACGCUGGCGGCGUGCCUAAUACAUGCAAGUCGAGCGGAUUGAUGGGAGCUUGCUCCCUGAUAUCAGCGGCGGACGGGUGAGUAACACGUGGGCAACCUGCCUAUAAGACUGGGAUAACUUCGGGAAACCGGAGCUAAUACCGGAUCAUUCCUUUCCUCACAUGGGGGAAGGCCAAAAGAUGGUUUACGCUAUCACUUAUAGAUGGGCCCGCGGCGCAUAGCUAGUUGGUGAGGUAAUGGCUCACCAAAGGCAACGAUGCGUAGCCGACCUGAGAGGGUGAUCGGCCACACUGGGACUGAGACACGGCCCAGACUCCUACGGGAGGCAGCAGUAGGGAAUCUUCCGCAAUGGACGAAAGUCUGACGGAGCAACGCCGCGU
RNAcentral lists this ribosomal RNA (384 nucleotides) under uncultured bacterium. Its description in RNAcentral is "bacterial SSU rRNA". It matches the Rfam family "Bacterial small subunit ribosomal RNA", at positions 28 to 402 of the family's 1533-position model. The record is from RNAcentral.